ACUUAAAUUGAAGAGUUUGAUCAUGGCUCAGAUUGAACGCUGGCGGCAGGCCUAACACAUGCAAGUCGAGCGGUAGCACAGAGAGCUUGCUCUCGGGUGACGAGCGGCGGACGGGUGAGUAAUGUCUGGGAAACUGCCUGAUGGAAGGGGAUAACUACUGGAAACGGUAGCUAAUACCGCAUAAUGUCGCAAGACCAAAGUGGGGGACCUUCGGGCCUCAUGCCAUCAGAUGUGCCCAGAUGGGAUUAGCUAGUAGGUGGGGUAACGGCUCACCUAGGCGACGAUCCCUAGCUGGUCUGAGAGGAUGACCAGCCACACUGGAACUGAGACACGGUCCAGACUCCUACGGGAGGCAGCAGUGGGGAAUAUUGCACAAUGGGCGCAAGCCUGAUGCAGCCAUGCCGCGUGUGUGAAGAAGGCCUUCGGGUUGUAAAGCACUUUCAGCGGGGAGGAAGGCGUUAAGGUUAAUAACCUUGGCGAUUGACGUUACCCGCAGAAGAAGCACCGGCUAACUCCGUGCCAGCAGCCGCGGUAAUACGGAGGGUGCAAGCGUUAAUCGGAAUUACUGGGCGUAAAGCGCACGCAGGCGGUCUGUCAAGUCGGAUGUGAAAUCCCCGGGCUCAACCUGGGAACUGCAUUCGAAACUGGCAGGCUAGAGUCUUGUAGAGGGGGUAGAAUUCCAGGUGUAGCGGUGAAAUGCGUAGAGAUCUGGAGGAAUACCGGUGGCGAAGGCGGCCCCCUGGACAAAGACUGACGCUCAGGUGCGAAAGCGUGGGGAGCAAACAGGAUUAGAUACCCUGGUAGUCCACGCCGUAAACGAUGUCGAUUUGGAGGUUGUGCCCUUGAGGCGUGGCUUCCGGAGCUAACGCGUUAAAUCGACCGCCUGGGGAGUACGGCCGCAAGGUUAAAACUCAAAUGAAUUGACGGGGGCCCGCACAAGCGGUGGAGCAUGUGGUUUAAUUCGAUGCAACGCGAAGAACCUUACCUGGUCUUGACAUCCACAGAACUUUCCAGAGAUGGAUUGGUGCCUUCGGGAACUGUGAGACAGGUGCUGCAUGGCUGUCGUCAGCUCGUGUUGUGAAAUGUUGGGUUAAGUCCCGCAACGAGCGCAACCCUUAUCCUUUGUUGCCAGCGGUUCGGCCGGGAACUCAAAGGAGACUGCCAGUGAUAAACUGGAGGAAGGUGGGGAUGACGUCAAGUCAUCAUGGCCCUUACGACCAGGGCUACACACGUGCUACAAUGGCAUAUACAAAGAGAAGCGACCUCGCGAGAGCAAGCGGACCUCAUAAAGUAUGUCGUAGUCCGGAUUGGAGUCUGCAACUCGACUCCAUGAAGUCGGAAUCGCUAGUAAUCGUAGAUCAGAAUGCUACGGUGAAUACGUUCCCGGGCCUUGUACACACCGCCCGUCACACCAUGGGAGUGGGUUGCAAAAGAAGUAGGUAGCUUAACCUUCGGGAGGGCGCUUACCACUUUGUGAUUCAUGACUGGGGUGAAGUCGUAACAAGGUAACCGUAGGGGAACCUGCGGUUGGAUCACCUCCUUACCUUAAAGAA
Molecule: ribosomal RNA, 1553 nt
Filed under: Klebsiella pneumoniae
Lineage: Bacteria; Pseudomonadati; Pseudomonadota; Gammaproteobacteria; Enterobacterales; Enterobacteriaceae
Description: bacterial SSU rRNA
Rfam family: Bacterial small subunit ribosomal RNA
Source: RNAcentral